Long non-coding RNA from Vidua chalybeata, 254 nucleotides. RefSeq lists it as uncharacterized. The transcript has 4 exons. Lineage: Eukaryota; Metazoa; Chordata; Aves; Passeriformes; Viduidae. The record is from RefSeq and is a predicted model, not a curated record.
AGUGAACAUGGGGGUGACCACAAGACUGGCAUGGUGAUGCUCCAAUGGGCUGAAGAGAUGGACAUUUACAUUUAACCCAGUCACAUCAGCAAACUUGUCCAAAGAGCAAUCUGUUCUCUGUGACCAGCUUGAACUCCUUUCUGCAAAAGAUGAGCAAUCACUUAUAAAUCAGGGAUAUUUCACAGGCUGGGUCUGGUCCUGGGAGUCUUGAGUGUCUUGGAGUCCAAGAAUAAAUCCACCUCGUUCUACCCCAA